RNAcentral lists this ribosomal RNA (292 nucleotides) under uncultured bacterium. RNAcentral describes it as "partial 16S ribosomal RNA". It matches the Rfam family "Bacterial small subunit ribosomal RNA", at positions 505 to 796 of the family's 1533-position model. The record is from RNAcentral.
GUGCCAGCAGCCGCGGUAAGACGAACUGUGCAAACGUUAUUCGGAAUCACUGGGCUUGAAGAGUGCGUAGGCGGUUUCGUAAGUAGGGUGUGAAAGCCCCCAGCUCAACUGGGGAACUGCGUCCUAAACUGCGAGGCUGGAGUGAGGUAGGGGUGUGCGGAACUUCCGGUGGAGCGGUGAAAUGUGUUGAUAUCGGAAGGAACGCCGGUGGCGAAAGCGGCACACUGGACCUUGUCUGACGCUGAGGCACGAAAGCCAGGGGAGCAAACGGGAUUAGAUACCCCGGUAGUCC